GACGAACGCUGGCGGCGUGCUUAACACAUGCAAGUCGAACGGAAAGGCCCUGCUUUUGUGGGGUGCUCGAGUGGGGAACGGGUGAGUAACACGUGAGUAACCUGCCCUUGACUUUGGGAUAACUUCAGGCAAGUGCGGAUAAUACCGGAGAGGUGCUCCUGCUGCAGGGGGGGGGUUGGAAAGUUUAGGCGGUGGGGGAUGGACUCGCGGCUUAUCAGCUGGUUGGUGGGGUAGCUGCUUACCAAGGCUUUGACGGGUAGCCGGCCUGAGAGGGUGAACGGCCACAUUGGGACUGCGGUACGGACCAGUCUCCUACGGUAGGCAGCAGUGGGGAAUAUUGCACAGUGGGCGGAAGCGUGAUGCAGCAACGCCGCGUGCGGGAUGCCGGCCUUCUUGCUGUGAACCGCUUUCGCCUGAGACGUAGCGUGAGUGACGGUACUGGGUAAAGAAGCACCGGCUAACUACGUG
RNAcentral lists this ribosomal RNA (468 nucleotides) under uncultured bacterium. RNAcentral's name for it is "partial 16S ribosomal RNA". It matches the Rfam family "Bacterial small subunit ribosomal RNA", at positions 28 to 507 of the family's 1533-position model. The record is from RNAcentral.